GACGAACCGUGCGAACGUUGUUCGGAAUCACUGGGCUUAAAGGGCGCGUAGGCGGGCUGGUAAGUCAGGGGUGAAAGCCCCGGGCUCAACCUGGGAAUUGCAUUCGAGACUGAAUAGCUAGGGUACGGUAGAGGGAAGUGGAAUUUCCGGUGUAGCGGUGAAAUGCGUAGAUAUCGGAAGGAACAUCAGUGGCGAAAGCGACUUCCUGGACCAGUACCGACGUUCAGGCACGAAAGCGUGGGGAGCAAACAGG
RNAcentral lists this ribosomal RNA (253 nucleotides) under uncultured bacterium. RNAcentral describes it as "partial 16S ribosomal RNA". It matches the Rfam family "Bacterial small subunit ribosomal RNA", at positions 524 to 776 of the family's 1533-position model. The record is from RNAcentral.